CAUCUGCUCAUAUGGGAUGACGUCUAUGCUAGGUAAGGAAACUACCAACAACCUAUUUCUCUCCAUACUACAACAUCUACUGCUCAUAAGGGAUGACAUCUAUGCCAGGUAAGGAAACUACCAACAACCUAUUUCUCUCUAUACUACAACAUCUACUGCUCAUAUGGGAUGACGUCUAUGCCAGGUAAGGAAACUACCAACAACCUAUUCCUCUCCAUACUACAACAUCUACUGCUCAUAUGGGAUGACGUCUAUGCCAGGUAAGGAAACUACCAACAACCUAUUUCUCUCCAUACUAAAACAUCUGCUCAUAUGGGAUGACGUCUAUGCCAGGUAAGGAAACUACCAACAACCUAUUUCUGGGAGGACAUGUAUGCCGUUUUUGUACAAUGCAUGUGUUGGGAGAAAUCUUUAAUCUUCCUUCAUAACUCAAUGAUUGCAAACCUGUGAUGUUGUUUUUCUCUGAUAUAAUGAGCGAAUAAGUUAUCAAAUGCCUGAGAAAAAACUAAUUUGCUGGGAGUUUUGUCAUCCCUUUAUCACAUCUUCAAAAUAAGUUCAAUUACUUGAGAGGGUCAUAUGGUUAAAAAGGUUAAAGCCUUAUGUGUCUGAUGAUGAGGGAUUGAAAA
Molecule: long non-coding RNA, 626 nt
Organism: Nematostella vectensis (starlet sea anemone)
Lineage: Eukaryota; Metazoa; Cnidaria; Anthozoa; Actiniaria; Edwardsiidae
Exons: 2
Source: RefSeq, a predicted model, not a curated record